CCUUCGAUAGCUCAGCUGGUAGAGCGGAGGACUGUAGAGGUACAAGUUCUGCGGAAAUCCUUAGGUCGCUGGUUCGAUUCCGGCUCGAAGGA
Molecule: transfer RNA, 92 nt
Filed under: Eurypyga helias (sunbittern)
Lineage: Eukaryota; Metazoa; Chordata; Aves; Eurypygiformes; Eurypygidae
Rfam family: tRNA
About the family: Transfer RNA (tRNA) molecules are approximately 80 nucleotides in length. Their secondary structure includes four short double-helical elements and three loops (D, anti-codon, and T loops).
Source: Rfam by way of RNAcentral